GUCCCCGUAGUGUAGCCGAUAUCACACAGGCUUGCGGAGCCUGUAACCCGGGUUCAAAUCCCGGCGGGGACG
This 72-nucleotide transfer RNA is filed under the name Candidatus Woesearchaeota archaeon. RNAcentral describes it as "tRNA-Arg". It matches the Rfam family "tRNA". From Rfam's summary of the family: Transfer RNA (tRNA) molecules are approximately 80 nucleotides in length. Lineage: Archaea; Nanobdellati; Candidatus Woesearchaeota. The record is from RNAcentral.